Molecule: transfer RNA, 74 nt
Filed under: Gammaproteobacteria bacterium
Lineage: Bacteria; Pseudomonadati; Pseudomonadota; Gammaproteobacteria
Also listed under: 1 other name
Description: tRNA-Arg
Rfam family: tRNA
About the family: Transfer RNA (tRNA) molecules are approximately 80 nucleotides in length. Their secondary structure includes four short double-helical elements and three loops (D, anti-codon, and T loops).
Source: RNAcentral
GCCCCGGUAGCUCAGUCGGAUAGAGCACCAGAUUCCUAAUCUGGGGGUCAGAGGUUCGAAUCCUCUCCGGGGCG